ACAUGCAAGUCGAACGAACUCUGGUAUUGAUUGGUGCUUGCAUCAUGAUUUACAUUUGAGUGAGUGGCGAACUGGUGAGUAACACGUGGGAAACCUGCCCAGAAGCGGGGGAUAACACCUGGAAACAGAUGCUAAUACCGCAUAACAACUUGGACCGCAUGGUCCGAGCUUGAAAGAUGGCUUCGGCUAUCACUUUUGGAUGGUCCCGCGGCGUAUUAGCUAGAUGGUGGGGUAACGGCUCACCAUGGCAAUG
Molecule: ribosomal RNA, 253 nt
Filed under: Lactiplantibacillus paraplantarum
Lineage: Bacteria; Bacillati; Bacillota; Bacilli; Lactobacillales; Lactobacillaceae
Description: Lactobacillus paraplantarum partial 16S ribosomal RNA
Rfam family: Bacterial small subunit ribosomal RNA
Source: RNAcentral